UGUGUGUGUGUGUGUGUGUGUGCGCGCGCACACACACACACACGUGCACACACACG
This 56-nucleotide microRNA precursor is filed under the name Podarcis lilfordi (Lilford's wall lizard). The record is from RNAcentral. Lineage: Eukaryota; Metazoa; Chordata; Lepidosauria; Squamata; Lacertidae.